AGUAAAUCUUAAGUCUCACGAACUCAGCAAAUGUAAUCCUUAUAAAAUGCAAAUAAAACAUAAUGUGAGAGUAGGUUUGGGCAUUAGGUACGGAUCAGUUCUUUUCAAGUCUAGGUUUUUUGGAUCCUAAACAUUUGGACAUAACUAGGUAUUUAAAAUUUUAUGUUUCAGAUUCAGGUCGAUUCCUUUAGGGUUCAGAUCUAUAAUUCAAAUACCUAUAAAAGACCAACAGUUUUUGGGUACAUAACGAGUCUGAAUUAGUUUGAGAUUUUUCGGACUCGGAAAAAUUAGAAGUAUCCAAAACCCAAAAAUACCGAAACACAAAAACACCCGAAAAUCACAAACAAAUACCUGAAAAAUAUUUAAAAAUUCUCAAAACACCCCAAAAUUUCACCAUAAAGCUGACAUGUGGAACAUCAAAAUACCUAAAAACAUUUCCUAAUACCCAAAAUAUUUUUUUAAAAUUAA
This 468-nucleotide long non-coding RNA is filed under the name Brassica napus (rape). RNAcentral describes it as "long non-coding RNA (BNAP_LNC016390)". Lineage: Eukaryota; Viridiplantae; Streptophyta; Magnoliopsida; Brassicales; Brassicaceae. The record is from RNAcentral.